UACGAAGGGGGCUAGCGUUGCUCGGAAUUACUGGGCGUAAAGGGAGCGUAGGCGGACAUUUAAGUCAGGGGUGAAAUCCCAGAGCUCAACUCUGGAACUGCCUUUGAUACUGGGUGUCUUGAGUGUGAUAGAGGUAUGUGGAACUCCGAGUGUAGAGGUGAAAUUCGUAGAUAUUCGGAAGAACACCAGUGGCGAAGGCGACACACUGGCCCAUUACUGACGCUGAGGCGCGAAAGCGUGGGGAGCAAACAGG
RNAcentral lists this ribosomal RNA (253 nucleotides) under uncultured Brevundimonas sp. RNAcentral's name for it is "partial 16S ribosomal RNA". It matches the Rfam family "Bacterial small subunit ribosomal RNA", at positions 524 to 776 of the family's 1533-position model. The record is from RNAcentral. Lineage: Bacteria; Pseudomonadati; Pseudomonadota; Alphaproteobacteria; Caulobacterales; Caulobacteraceae.